Molecule: ribosomal RNA, 259 nt
Filed under: uncultured bacterium
Lineage: Bacteria
Description: partial 16S ribosomal RNA
Rfam family: Bacterial small subunit ribosomal RNA
Source: RNAcentral
AACGAACGCUGGCGGCAUGCCUAACACAUGCAAGUCGAACGGAUGGCUUCGGCCAUUAGUGGCGCACGGGUGCGUAACGCGUGGGAAUCUGCCCUUAGGUUCGGAAUAACUCAGGGAAACUUGAGCUAAUACCGGAUAAUGACUUCGGUCCAAAGAUUUAUCGCCUAGGGAUGAGCCCGCGUAGGAUUAGCUUGUUGGUGAGGUAAAAGCUCACCAAGGCGACGAUCCAGUCUGGUCUGAGAGGAUGAUCAGCCACACU